GAUGAACGCUGGCGGCGUGCCUAAUACAUGCAAGUCGAGCGAACAGACGAGGAGCUUGCUCCUCUGACGUUAGCGGCGGACGGGUGAGUAACACGUGGAUAACCUACAUAUAAGACUGGGAUAACUUCGGGAAACCGGAGCUAAUACCGGAUAAUAUAUUGAACCGCAUGGUUCAAUAGUGAAAGACGGUUUUGCUGUCACUUAUAGAUGGAUCCGCGCCGCAUUAGCUAGUUGGUAAGGUAACGGCUUACCAAGGCAACGAUGCGUAGCCGACCUGAGAGGGUGAUCGGCCACACUGGAACUGAGACACGGUCCAGACUCCUACGGGAGGCAGCAGUAGGGAAUUUUCCGCAAUGGGCGAAAGCCUGACGGAGCAACGCCGCGUGAGUGAUGAAGGUCUUCGGAUCGUAAAACUCUGUUAUUAGGGAAGAACAAAUGUGUAAGUAACUAUGCACGUCUUGACGGUACCUAAUCAGAAAGCCACGGCUAACUACGUG
Molecule: ribosomal RNA, 497 nt
Filed under: uncultured bacterium
Lineage: Bacteria
Description: partial 16S ribosomal RNA
Rfam family: Bacterial small subunit ribosomal RNA
Source: RNAcentral